This 23-nucleotide non-coding RNA is filed under the name Rattus norvegicus (Norway rat). Lineage: Eukaryota; Metazoa; Chordata; Mammalia; Rodentia; Muridae. The record is from RNAcentral.
UGCUGAUUGCUGCUGCUCUGAGC